AUGUCGUCGUCGUCGCCGCCGCUGUCGCCUCGCGGGGCGGAGGAGGAGGAGGAGGGGGGCGCCAGGAGCGGCGGCGGCGUUGGCGGCGGCACGGUGUUCAGCUACGGGGAGGCGGGGUACUGGGACGCGCGCUACGUGGAGGAGGGCGGCGCGCCCUACGACUGGUACCAGCGCUACGCCGCGCUGCGCCCCUUCGUCCGCCGCUCCGUGCCGCCGGACUCGCGCCUCCUCAUGAUCGGCUGCGGCUCCGCGCUUAUGUCAGAGGAUAUGGCCGCUGAUGGCUACAUGGAGAUAAUAAACAUUGACAUUUCUUCGGUUUUAAUUGAGAUGAUGAGGAAGAAGUACUUCGAUCUUCCACAGCUACAAUACAUGCAAAUGGAUGUUAGAGAUAUGAGUAAAUUCUCUGACGAAUCAUUUGAUUGUGCCAUUGAUAAAGGUACUUUGGACUCUUUGAUGUGUGGUGUGGAGGCUCCUCUCAGCGCAGCUCAGAUGGUCCUGGAAGUGGACAGGCUACUUAAACCAGGGGGAGUCUUUAUGUUGAUAACUUAUGGUGAUCCAUCAGCGCGAAUUCCUCACCUGAACCAACCAGUAUGCAGUUGGAAAAUUGUACUGUACAUUCUGCCAAGACCUGGAUUCAAGGGAAACAUAAGAAGAUCUGUCUUCGACCCUGUUCCACUUACUGAGAGUGGUAGAUUGCCCGAGGGCUUUGUUCUGGAGGAUCCUGACUCUCAUUAUAUUUAUGUCUGCAAAAAGGGCCAAGAAUUAACAGGGAUAGAUUCUCCAACGUUAAGCCACUUGAAGUUGCAAGAUUCCGAGUGA
RNAcentral lists this ribosomal RNA (819 nucleotides) under Triticum aestivum (bread wheat). RNAcentral's name for it is "partial small subunit ribosomal RNA". Lineage: Eukaryota; Viridiplantae; Streptophyta; Magnoliopsida; Poales; Poaceae. The record is from RNAcentral.